UUAAUUUAAGAAAAGGGCUUGAACUCGGGUCAUGCUGGGACCAAGCACUGGGGCUCCACCUUGCUCAUGCUGACCUUCACCUGUCUCACAGCCAUCUCCAAAACAGCUAAUCCAGGGGAAAGUUCAACCACCACUUCUAAGAUGGAUGAGUCACUCCUUGUUAAAACUGGAGAGCGGGCCAAGACAGCCUUCUUGACCCCUGAGCUUUGUGGAUCUUUGAAUCUAGUUCCUAAUUUGGCAUCUUCAGUUACAGUAGAAGUGGAACCGAGGUGUAGGUGUCUGCAAAAAGGACGAAAGUUAUUGGUUGAAGUCAUAGCUGAUCUCCACCAUACCACUCGGCAAGAAGUUCUCAGAAGGCAAUUUCCAUCCAGAGAGAAAACCUACCUACUUGCCAUCAGAGAAGAAAAUAUCUGUAGAUGUAAGGGAUCCAUGGAAUCUAUGAAAAUAAGAGUUCAACCAGUUUUGCUUGCACAAACAGCCUGGUGCACACAGUAGAAAUGGCUAACUGUUUUUGCUGCUGAGACAACAGGCCUGUAACUGCUUGGUGAAGUGGAUAUUCUUGGAGAUGCUGGACCUGACUUGAGGGUCAUCUACCAGGAAACUAGUGGGAUACAGGAUUGGACAAAAGUUUACAGAGUUCAUGCAGUUUGGAAUGACACAUCUGGGUCUUAAUGGAUCACCAUAUUCUGACAAAAACUUUCUAGUGAAGCACAUUUUUGACUCAGCUGAGUUUCCUAAAGUUUGGCAGGCAACCCCAUGCUACCUCCACUGGGCCUGUAUAUGGAAGACCAGCUGAGAAUGGAGUGCAUGGAGUGCUAGCUGUGCAAAUUUCUUACAAUUGCUUGGCUGAUGAUGGGGAUGUUGUAGUUUGUUCCUUUGUUUUAAUGGGGUAUUAAAGAGUUGGGGUAUUGCUGUCCUGGAGCCUGCCAAGGCCUUGGAUGUUAUAUCUAAUUAUUAGCUAUAACUACUGUAAAUUGGAGGUAAUUCCUGAUAAGGCCAAAACAACUGCAAAGAGGAUCUGUAGAUCCCUUAUCUGGGUUUUGACAGGAAACCCUGCAGAAAUCUGAGGGAUGAUCUCAGAACUGCUCUCAUAUUUGUGACAUUUUAGGGUGCAUCUACACAUGCGUUAAUGUGCAUUAAAUCUAGUACCUCCAUUGUGAGAUACUAUGAAAAGGCGCAUUAGCCAAUAUUAAUGUACAUUAACUAAAGAGAGCUUUUUUAGUGAUGCUUGAAUGUGCAUUAAAAUAGGCUAAUGUGCAUUAAAGUGUACAUGUAGACGCACCCUUAGUGAUGAGCAAGGCUGCCGCCAGACAGACAAACUGGCCAGUGAGACAGCCAUUUCCAGCUGACUAGGCUGAAUGUUGCCAGCUAGAUGGAUUCAUGCACCAGCCUCUUUUACUUGCUGACAAGGCAGAAGUGCUUGGAGAUGGCCUGACGUUGCACUUUUUGUUUUAGUGCUACUUUGACAACUGAAGAAUUAAGGUGAUGCAUGUUACAUUUUAGGCUAUAUCAUAAACUAGGAAAUGGCC
Molecule: long non-coding RNA, 1529 nt
Filed under: Crocodylus porosus (Australian saltwater crocodile)
Lineage: Eukaryota; Metazoa; Chordata; Crocodylia; Crocodylidae
Description: lncRNA (ENSCPRG00005018884.1)
Source: RNAcentral